This 93-nucleotide signal recognition particle RNA is filed under the name Candidatus Hippobium faecium. RNAcentral's name for it is "partial signal recognition particle sRNA small type". It matches the Rfam family "Bacterial small signal recognition particle RNA". From Rfam's summary of the family: The signal recognition particle (SRP) is a universally conserved ribonucleoprotein involved in the co-translational targeting of proteins to membranes. Archaeal SRP consists of a 7S RNA and homologues of the eukaryotic SRP19 and SRP54 proteins. Lineage: Bacteria; Bacillati; Armatimonadota. The record is from RNAcentral.
AUUCCGGGCUGCUUGCAGCCACCCAACCCCGCCAGGACAGGAAUGUAGCAACGGUAAGUGGAUUGCAGGAGAGACCCGGGUGAUUUGUCUCCG